Molecule: long non-coding RNA, 2885 nt
Organism: Odocoileus virginianus texanus
Lineage: Eukaryota; Metazoa; Chordata; Mammalia; Artiodactyla; Cervidae
Source: RefSeq, a predicted model, not a curated record
UGCAAGCACAGAGAUGGCCCUAAGUGUGGGGGGACAGGUGGGGAUCUUCAAAAAGGGGAGAAUGUGGCAGGGUCUCAGAAUUUGCAAAGCAGUAAAGCAUCACUGGUAAAAAAAAAAAAAAAAAAAAAAAAAAACACACUGUCUCCAAGACAGGUGACUGAAGUUCAGACCUGGGUACCACCACUUGGGACAUUCAGCAGGUGACUCAGCCCCUGGAAGCCUCAGUUGGCUCACCUGUCAAACUGGGAUACACGGUGAACUUCAUGGGGUGUUUAAAGGCUUAACCAGGACAACACACACAAGAUGUGUUUCAAUACUUGACGUUAAGCACACGCUUCUGAAUCCUGGUGGACCAUCCACCCUCCAGGCCAUGCAGAGGAGUUCAAAAUGGAAGAGGGGGAAGAAGGUGCCCAAGGCCUGGGUUAGAAUCCAUCGUCUCCCACCAGCAGUGGCUCUGCAAGCACGGGUGAAAGAUAAAGAAAUUACAUGGCUACCUCUCAGCAGCCUGCACCGUGAUCAAUGGCCAACGUGGAGAAUUAGGCCCUGGCUCUAAAACGAGAAAAGAAAGAAGCAAAAGAGCCAUCCCUAGAGGUAUUAUUUCCCAAAAAAAUCUUGUAAAUUCUUAUGACGGGAGAACUUCCUAAUAAUAAGUCUAUUAUCUUGUUUUGCCAUAAAUCUUUGGUGGAUGGCAUCAUUUUAUUGAAAGGGGUCUGUGGUAAAGACUAAUUAGUGAUUCUGCAACAAUUCCACGCUGUGUAAGUUUUGGGAGGCUCAAGGCGGAAAAAAAGGGUAGGAUGACUAGUAACUGGAAAUAGCACAAGUAUGCCUUGGGUUUAACUGUCCAGUUGCUACAUCUCCUUCAUUAAUUCAUUAAAUUUUUCUAGAAGCUUAAUUUUUGUGCAAGCAAACACUAACACUCUAAGUAUUUCCUUAUUUUUAUGUGCAUCUAGAAAUAGGAAUCAUGAAAAAUUUCGAAAGAUGAUCACACUUUUUCUAGGAUUAAUAAACAAUUUCUAUUUGUGUAAUAAAACAACUUUAUAAAUGAAUAUGAAGUAUUACUUGCCCAUAGUUUUCACCUAGCCACUCCAUCCUGACAUUAUAGCAAAUAUGAAAUCAGCAAUAUAUUUUUUCCACCUCGCACACAUUAUUUGUUCUUGGAGUAGCUUUAUGUGUUAGAAUAAUAAUACUUCAGUAGUUUAAUUAGAUGAAUGCAAAAAAAAGUAGUUCCAUAAUUUUCCAGAAAUUUUUGAGAAAGAAAGCAAAGUUUAUGAAUACAAAUUCUAGGUGUUGUUUUUAAAAUAAUACUUGCCACUAGAAAUCUUCUUAAACAUUGCCUAUCAUUAAGAUUUACUAAAGUUCUUUAAGCUGAACCCAAAUCAUGCUCAACCUUAUCCUACUUUACCAAAGACUACUUUAAAAUAGUCUAUGGGCCUAAUUACCACCUACAAUGUACAAUAUUGUCCUGCCAUAUUUUUGUCCCUCACAUAAGGGUAAAGAAACUGCACCUUUGAAUUAAUAUUACACUGAGAAAAUUGUCCUCCCUACAAGACCCUUGAAAAUGUGUUCAGCACAUGUUUCCAAGUCCAAGCAUACAGGAUUCUAAUUCAUUAAAUGUAUAAUGCUAACAUUUUAAUCCACUGCUAAAUGUAAAUAACUUCAGCAAUCCCAGUUGGGCUAUUUAACAUUAAUUUAAUGUAUUUUAUAAUACAUGUGUGUGUCUCCUCUCACGGGGCUAAGUAGAAAGGUGAACAAUUAUCUAAUAACUUCCAUCAAUGCACUCCACCAAACCUGGUAAGUCAGGCCCUCCUCUCUUUUUAUUUAUUUAUCUAGUAACUAUCUCACCUUGAGGUCCAUUCAGGUGUGUUCUAUCACUCCUAAUCAGUGCAAUGAAGAACCAGGCAAGAUCUUCUAGAAUCUGUUGCUAGCUUACAAAUUUAGUCACUAUAGAUAGCCAGUCUAGACUGUUCAAAUUUCACUCUCUCUUCUUUCUUUUUUUUUUUUUUAAUAGCUAGGCAGAAGGGUGUGCAGCAAUGCCUGAAUUCUUCAAAUAAUUAGUUAAAUUCUCUCACUUAUUUUGCCUUUGGUAGACAUUGCCUAGUUCUCUCUUUAAAAGAUGAAAGCAGUUGGAUGAGGAAAGAGAAUAAGGUUUUGAGAAAGCAUAGAUGCACCUCACCUCAACAUGUGUCACUGAUGGUGUCUAAACAGUGAGGCUGAGUACCUGAACCCCCCCUCCCCGCAGAAGCCUCUCAGAACCUCACUAAAGCAGACUCACCCAACUGCUCACAGACUUAAAAAAAAGCAAAGUGGGGGAGAGGGAAAAGAAAGGCAGAGAGGGAGGGAGAAGAUGGCUAGUCCAUGAAGCUGGAGUUUCAGUAUGAGACUAUUUAGAAAAUAAUUCACUUCGAAAACUGCUUUCACAGAAUAAGUUGGUCUCCAUCAAUAUCCAAGCAGUUUUCUAAGAGCCUGGUUGGCUAUGAAACUUGAUAUCUGUCAACAUUUUAUAGUUGCCCUGAGUUAAUAAGCUAUUUUCCUUCUUUGCUGUAACUGACAAAUUUUUUAAAAAUUGCAUCUUGGAUGCCUACCUUCUGGGGAGUUGUAUUUGCUAUGUUAUAGUUCUGUCUGCUUUCCGGCCACAGAACACCAAAGUAUUUAUUCUUACAAAUCUUUCUAUAUGUGUAACUUGAGCUUACUAAAACAGUGCUUUACUCACUUCAUUAAUUAACUCGACAGAAAAGAUGCUUUUACACUUUUGGAGUGAAUGACUCUUUAUCCAAAUUUUUGAAUACACAUUGUUCAAUUUUAGAAAUUUUUGAAUACACAUUGUUCAAUUUUAGAUCAUUAUAUAGCAUGUGUCUUUUCCUACCAAACCACACUAUCAUGUAGAA